CCAAAGGACCUGGGCACCUCGCAGUCAUUGAGUUGGCCAUGAACUCCUCUGUAUUUCAAAGUAUUCUAGAGUCAAAUGUGAGGGCAUCUGUCCGACAUUUAAAGUCGGGCCAAACUUGCGUUAUGCAACAGGACAAUGAUCCUAAGCACACCAGCAAAGCUACAACAGAAUGGCUGAAAAGAAAAGAAUCAAGGUGUUGCAACAGCCCAAAGUCCAGAGCUCAUCCUGACUCAAAUGCUGUGGUGAGAGCUGUGCAUAAGCAAAUGCCCACAAACCUCAAUAAACUGGAGCAACGUUGAAAAGAAGAGUGAUCCAAAUUCCUCCAGAACAAUGUGACAGACUGAUAAAGUCACACAGAAAAUGAAUGCUUCAAGUUACUGCUGCUAAAAGGGGAUCUACAGGCAACUGACUCAUAGGGUGUCCAAACUUUGCCACGUAUGGACUUUAACUCUUGGCUGUAUUUUUCUUAAAUAAAUAAUGACACUGUGUGAUAUGUCAAGUGAUGAUGUUUAUCUGAGGAUUUAGUUUCCAAAUUUUAAGACCUGCCAAGGACCAGAUAAUUUUUUAUUAUGUCCUGAUACAGAAAACCAUGAAAUUCAAUAGGGUGUCCUAACUUUUUCACAUGACUGUAUAUAGGCGUAGGCGAUAUAUCACGGAUGGGCCUGAUUGCCUGAUGUCUUUUCGUCUGAUGCCUUUUAAUGUGAGUCCAUUUCAUCUGAUGCCUUUUUAUCUGAGUCUGUUUCGUCUGAUGCCUAAUUGUAUGAAACCUGACACCUGACGUCAUUUUUCCUGAGACCUGAAGCCUUUUAGUCUGAGGCACAAAGCCGUUUUGUCCAGUGACUGAAGCCUUUGAGGCAUGACGCCUUUUUGAUUUUAUGACUGAUGUCUGAGGAUGUCCUAAAAUGUACACUGUACUCAGGGUGCUAGUAGGGCUGAGUGUAGUUAGGUCUCCUCUCGCUUAGAGAGUCAUUAUGCUGAGACUUCCACUCCUAGAGUUCCUCUAACAAGGCAGAGAGUUGUAGGCUCCCCCUCGCUUAGAGGGGCAUUCUGAAGAAGUCUCCGCCCUAUUUUAGGUGCCCUCAUAAGGAGCAGAGAAUGGCCUGGGGAAACCCCACCCUAAUGGGUGGUGUUCAUGUGGAGGAAGUUUGGCCAGUCUUAAGGAAACUUGCUGUGACUGACUUUGCACUAUCCCCUCUGGCCUCUCUGACUCACCCAGUACCCUGGGACUGGUUGAUUUGGUAUAGCGUGGGCCAAGUCUUCACCUGUACACUCUUCCCCGAUCGCUCUGCUUUCAGGAGUUCUGUUAAAAAAACAGACCCAGCACUGUGACGUAACACUCUGGUCUUUACAACUGAGGUUGCAGAGACCGCCCUCCAUUCCAGAGCUCCCUCAGUGAGGAAUGUGCAGGAGUAGACAGCCUAUCUAGGCUUGGCAGGGACUCCACCCUAGGGUGGCCUUCAUUAGAGGAAGUUUGACCAGUCUUAGGGGGACUUGCUGUGACUGACUUCGCACUAUCCCCUCUGGCCUCUCCGACUCACCCAGUUCCUUUGGACUGGUAGCAUUUUGGUACAGCCCUGGCCAGGGCUUCCUCUAUACCCUACUCCUAUUGCCCUGCUCCUGGGAGCCCUGGAACCCACCUCACCUCCUUUCGGGGGUUUUUGGCUGAUUCUCUCCUUAUGGCAAGUUUCCUCUGCGGAGGCUGUUAGUACGAUACCUUGCCCUAUGUGGGCUGGCCGUAGAAGCGCGAUUCUACAGUUGACACUGAGAGUGUUGGCGAUUCUUGGGACUUGUGCCUUCGGCCAAGCUCUCCCUGCUACCCCUUUCUGGGUAUGUACCUAGUGCUCCUAAGCUUAUUGUAUGUCAAGGCUCACCUAUCUCAGUAUGGCUUGGGUCCUUCUGUCAGGCUUUUCCCUGAUCGGACCUGACAUUGCCACGGACUCAUCUGCGCCCCUUCCCUGAGCCACUUCGGCUCCCUUUCACCCUAGUUGCUCACACAUUAGGCAGAGAUUUGCAUGGCUUGAGUUCCUGAAAGGUAAUGUCUCGGGUUACGUAUGUAACCCUGGUCCCUUAAGGGAACGAGAUGCUGCACCUCUGUGCCAUACUUCCUGCACCCCUGCAGCUCUUGCUUCACGAUUUAGAAGCUGCCAGCUGCAUUCACUGCACAUGCUUUAUAGCUUCCUGGUCUCUACGUCAUUCUGCCCUUGACAUCUCGCUUCUCUAUUGACUGAUUGCUCAUGUGUUUCAGAGCAUAGUCAUGAAGGCGUUCUCAUAGCAUUCUGACGCAGCGUCUCGUUCCCUUGAGGAACCAGGGUUACAUAUGGAACCUGAGACGUUGUCUUUCUUACCUGUUCUCACAUGGACAUAUUCUCAGUCCUUCCCAGAUUGAAUGGUUUUUAAAUUAAUUGAGAAAGUUGGUAUUGUGAAGUCCUUGCAACGCACAAAUAAAUUGCUAAAUCGCAAUUCUUCUGUCUAUGUCACUUGAUCUGGACAGGAUGGAUGAAACAGCAGAGUAGUAUGUUUCUGCAAUUGUUUAGUACACAUUUAACUAAUGGCUAUUGCCAUUCUCACUUCACUUGGAAUGAGUGAAGUUUUGAAAUGAAUCCACUCUUGCUUUGUUUUGUCUUUGCCGAAGUGUUAAGACAAAGUGUGCUUCUAUUUUAAAAAGCAUUGUCAGUCACCAGCAAAGCCAACAAUACUAUUGAUUAGAUGGAGCAAUCUAUAAAGCAGAAAUGUACAACUGUAUUUAGAUGAUUUUAGGACAUUUGAGUUGUUUAUUGGCUCUGAAAAGUUAAAGGGAAUACUUUUUUAUAGAAAAGUGGGAGCCACAAGAGAAUUAUAUUGAUAAAUUAAUACAUAAUAUAAUACAGUUAAAUACAGGUCUUCAAAGAUAUAGCUUGUAUUACAUCUUGUUAUUUGUAGAUGUAUGGAGUCUCUGUCCAUUAUCCCAGGGGGACAGCUUAAAAUGUGAUAAACUACAACUAAAGAUUGAGACUUUAGUUUGUGUUAACUAAAAUAACAUUGUGAUCAAUGAGAACAAGACUGAGUGACUACUUUACACAGCCUUAUUCAGCUAAUAUUAACAAGAUAAAGAGGAAAAUAAUUUUUUCUUGACUUUGGUUGUUACAUUUGGUAGACUAUUUACAAGAUUUCAGUCUAUAGUUAUAAUCCAAUGCAUCGUGCUGAUGAAUUUAUAAGGAUUAUAGAAGUAUGAUAUGUUCAGAAUAGGUUACUGUUUUUUUUUUUUUUUUGGGCAUUAUGCCAAGAAGGAAUUGCCUGCUCUUUUCCUGCAAAGAAGAACUUGCUUUAUUAAAAUAUAUGUUGUUAACUGGAUGAGAUUCUUUCAAUUUUGGACAGUUGCACAGGAUGACUGACCAUAGCACAGAUUGUUCUGGGACAGUUGCCACUGGGUGAUACAACAUGAAGAAAGAGACAUUAGGGCUGUGAAAAACAAGAAAUGCUGAUGGGUGAACGGAUACACCCCAUGCACCAGUCCAACCCCAUAGAAAGAAGUUAAGUACCGAUCUCCCCUAUAUGGCCUAUUUAGAAUAAAUGACUGCACAAAUGAGAGAGGGACAUAUUUUCACUAAUAAUUUAUUUAUUUUGCACAAGACAAAUUGUCUUAAUCUGUCUGAUUUUUGCUAUUUGAGCAACUGGGAAUGGAGGGAAAAAAGGGCAAUAAAAAUACAAGAUAUUAAGAGUUAGACAGUCUUUUUCUUAGGAAAAUUAAACUGGAACUGAGUUAUAUCCAACAGCAGUAAGACACGUAGUUCAGAAGCAGAAAACGGCUAUAAUCCAAAUGGAUUUUCUGCCAGUAGGAGGCGCUUUUGGAAUGGUUUCCCUCGUAACAGCUAUUAGCAUUAGCAUGAGCAUUGGCAUUAGCAUUAGCGUAAAUGGCACAAACUGUACCUACCUUUUCUGGUUUGAUUUGUCAUUUUGUUUUCCGUACAGUGAACAGUAUGAGGGUCUUUGUUUGACAGUCAAGUCAAUUGUUUGUUGCAAUGCUGCUUGGAAACAACUUGGUCAAAUUCCAGUUGGAUUGUGGGGCAACGUGUAACAUCAUCCCCAUAAAUCUUGUGAAUCCAGACAUUCAGAUAGAGGAAACAGACCAGAUACUUGUGAUGUACAACAAAAGUAAAUUAAAACCAAUAGGCAAAUGCCAGCUGAAACUAAGAAAUCCACAUAACAAAAAGCUGUACAGACUGAAGUGUAUGGUUGUUGAUGCAAACUCUGCAGUAUCAUUACUAGGACGCAGAGUAGUCCAAGACAUGAAGUUGGUUAGUGUGCAGUCUGAGAAUAUGCUAGUGGUGGAUAAUGUCAUGAAUAAAACAGCCAGAGAAAACAGAUGGACGAUGGACAAUGGAACAAAUAACAAGUCAAUUUACAGAUGUUUUCACAGAUGAUGGUUGUAUGUCAGGACACUAUAAGAUGGAGACUAAUCACAAGGUGGAGCCAGUGAAACUGCCUAAGCAGAGAGUACCAGUUGCAAUGAUGGGACCGCUGAAGGAGGAACUAAACAAUCUCCAAGAACAAGGUAUAAUUGCACCCGUAGAACAAAGCACCAAUGGAUAAGCAGUCUUGUUGUUGUAAAGAAACCCAAUAGCAAGUUAAGAAUCUAAACAUCCCAGACCACUGAACAAAGCCUUAAAAAGGAGUCACUUCCCUCUCCCCAAAAUUGAGGACAUCUUGUCAGAGUUGUCAAAAGCAAGAGUAUUUACAGUCUGUGACGUAAAGAAUGGUUUCUGGCAUGUGCAGCUGGAUGACCCAUCAAGUUAUCUUACUGCAUUUGCAGCACCUUACGGGAGACACAGGUGAUUGAGAAUGCCUAUGGGCAUAAGCCCAGCACCUAAGGUCUUUCAGAGACUGCUGAACCAGGCAUUGGAAGGACUGCAAGGCAUACACAUAAUUGCAUAAUAGUGUUAAUAACAGGGUGUGACACUGUCAGAUAAAAGACAUUUAUUACAAUGAUUUAAUGUAUUAUAGAGUUUUAAGUGUUUUACAUGUUUUUUAGUCCAUUUUAUUCCUCCUAACAUUUUAAGUGUGUGUAUGUCUUUAAGAAAUGUAUGGUUGGCCUGAAGCAAGAACUAUAUAAAGAGAACAGCAUUUCAAACAAGGGGGAUCAGUCACAACACUUACCUGGAUUGAGAAGUUACUGUUUUUAGAGCUCACCUUUCCAGACACCAUCUACAAACUUUGGAUUACACUUUUUGUGGAUUGUAUAUACACUUGUGGACAAUCACAUUGGACUUAUCAGCACAUUGGGAUUCUUGGACUGUUUUAGGUUAAAUCUGACCCUUAAAGUUAAAGGCUGAUCUUUACAAGGGGAAGGAGGAACAGUGGAAAUGAAAA
Molecule: long non-coding RNA, 5346 nt
Organism: Labeo rohita (rohu)
Lineage: Eukaryota; Metazoa; Chordata; Actinopteri; Cypriniformes; Cyprinidae
Exons: 3
Source: RefSeq, a predicted model, not a curated record